GCCGAAAUGGUGGAACUGGUAGACGCGCCGGACUCAAAAUCCGGUUCUAGCAAUAGAGUGUGGGUUCAAGUCCCACUUUCGGCACCA
This 87-nucleotide transfer RNA is filed under the name Burkholderiales bacterium. Its description in RNAcentral is "tRNA-Leu". It matches the Rfam family "tRNA". Rfam says of the family: Transfer RNA (tRNA) molecules are approximately 80 nucleotides in length. Their secondary structure includes four short double-helical elements and three loops (D, anti-codon, and T loops). The record is from RNAcentral. Lineage: Bacteria; Pseudomonadati; Pseudomonadota; Betaproteobacteria; Burkholderiales.